GUAAAGAUGCCAGAUUUAAUGGGGUUGGUUUAGGACCAGCUUAUGGUUAAGUUAACCUCUUUGCU
RNAcentral lists this transfer RNA (65 nucleotides) under Rhinebothrium megacanthophallus. Its description in RNAcentral is "tRNA-Leu". Lineage: Eukaryota; Metazoa; Platyhelminthes; Cestoda; Rhinebothriidea; Rhinebothriidae. The record is from RNAcentral.